RNAcentral lists this transfer RNA (75 nucleotides) under Rhodospirillaceae bacterium. RNAcentral describes it as "tRNA-Thr". It matches the Rfam family "tRNA". Rfam says of the family: Transfer RNA (tRNA) molecules are approximately 80 nucleotides in length. Their secondary structure includes four short double-helical elements and three loops (D, anti-codon, and T loops). Further hydrogen bonds mediate the characteristic L-shaped molecular structure. tRNAs have two regions of fundamental functional importance: the anti-codon, which is responsible for specific mRNA codon recognition, and the 3' end, to which the tRNAs corresponding amino acid is attached (by aminoacyl-tRNA synthetases). tRNAs cope with the degeneracy of the genetic code in two manners: having more than one tRNA (with a specific anti-codon) for a particular amino acid; and 'wobble' base-pairing, i.e. permitting non-standard base-pairing at the 3rd anti-codon position. The record is from RNAcentral. Lineage: Bacteria; Pseudomonadati; Pseudomonadota; Alphaproteobacteria; Rhodospirillales; Rhodospirillaceae.
GCCGGCUUAGCUCAGGGGUAGAGCAACCGCCUUGUAAGCGGUAGGUCGUGUGUUCAAUUCACACAGCCGGCACCA